UUACUAGAGCAAAGGAUAGACAGCACCCGCGGAGCUCGCUCCCGGGGCUACCCUACUCCGGUAGGGUUUAGAGUCGUCGGGCCUCUCGCAGAAGCUCGGUCCUGAACUCCACCCUUGAAUAAACUACCUUUGUUGCUUUGGCGGGCCGCCUCGUGCCAGCGGCUUCGGCUGUUGAGUGCCCGCCAGAGGACCACAACUCUUGUUUUUAGUGAUGUCUGAGUACUAUAUAAUAGUUAAAACUUUCAACAACGGAUCUCUUGGUUCUGGCAUCGAUGAAGAACGCAGCGAAAUGCGAUAAGUAAUGUGAAUUGCAGAAUUCAGUGAAUCAUCGAAUCUUUGAACGCACAUUGCGCCCUCUGGUAUUCCGGGGGGCAUGCCUGUUCGAGCGUCAUUAUAACCACUCAAGCUCUCGCUUGGUAUUGGGGUUCGCGGUUUCGCGGCUCCUAAAAUCAGUGGCGGUGCCUAUCGGCUCUACGCGUAGUAAUACUCCUCGCGAUUGAGUCCGGUAGGUCUACUUGCCAGCAACCCCUAAUUUUUUUAAGGUUGACCUCGGAUCAGGUAGGGAUACCCGCUGAACUUAAGCAUAUCAAUAAGCGGAGGAAAAGAAACCAACAGGGAUUACCUCAGUAACGGCGAGUGAAGCGGUAACAGCUCAAAUUUGAAAGCUGGCUCUUUUAGGGUCCGCGUUGUAAUUUGUAGAAGAUGCUUCGGGUGUGGCCCCGGUCUAAGUUCCUUGGAACAGGACGUCAUAGAGGG
Molecule: ribosomal RNA, 756 nt
Filed under: fungal sp.
Lineage: Eukaryota; Fungi
Description: eukaryotic LSU rRNA
Rfam family: Eukaryotic large subunit ribosomal RNA (bases 545-756)
Source: RNAcentral